GAGAUGUCAAAGGUCAUAGUACUUGUGAGGUCAUCGGCUUCUUGCACUUGCUGGUCUUCCUCAGGCAGUAGUGCUUUUACAUCAGCUCCUCUAGAACAUAGACAUGAUGUUGAUAUGACAGAGUCUGCUUCAAGACAACUAACCCAGUUUGCACCUACCUGUAGGUAGUAGCUACUAUAACUAACUGGGGCUUCGGCGUUAAUCUUUUUACUCUUUCUUAUUUCGUGUUUUUGAUUGGAAUGGCAUCAUUACUGACCAAGUUAACGUCUAAAUUGACCAAUAAUGCAAAUGUUUAUGAUUUCUAUGUGUCUUCGUUUUGCAGUAAUUUAAUUCUGCCCGGAUGAGGAUCCUCUAACACUGCCGACGUCACAUUCAGUGUUCCUGAAAACAGCUAGCCCUAGAGGCCAAAAUUGUAAAACCCGACCAAACAAAAUCUCUUAUAUGAAUAUGAAAUAUUCCUCCAAGUUGCCCUUUAACUCACUAUAUAGCAUGAUCUAUAUGGCCUCUAUAACCUAUAUGACCUCUAACCUCUAUGUCCUAUGUAUGGGAAUGAAAAGGUAUUUCACAUUUCCUAGUGCUGCUGCCGGAAGACGAUGCUCACAAGUACAGUGAACUCUGCCCUCCUAGUAAAAUGAUGAUCAGAGUUUGUGAUUGUUUGAGUUAUCCCUCCCAUGAGAAGCCAGGGGAGCCGGUCUUUCCUCAAUGUAAAUCAACAUACAGUUUUCAUCUUUUUGUUUUUUAUAUCUUUUUUUUCUUUAACCUGUGCACUUUUAUUAUAGGAUUAUAACUUUAUAUUAUUAACCUAGGAAAGGUUUAGUGCUAUGGUUUGUGAGUUAUUUAGUCAAGUAUACACAUAUAUGAAUAGGAAUAUAUUUCCUCCUAUAUGUUGUCUCUUUGUAUCAUCCAUAGAGACCAUUUACUCUCCUAAAACCACACCGCAAACCAGAGUCCUACUGUUAAGAUUCUGAGAAUUUAUCCAACUGAAUAAGCAUCCUUGUAUUGUUAUGUCUCAUCAUAUUAUUAUUAUUAUGCUGUUGGUUUGAUUUUAUGUUUGUUCUGCUGCCAUGUUCUAAACAAAAUCCAGGGUGAGCAAAUUCUGGGGUUUUCAUGUAUUUAUUAUUCCUAGGAAUAGUUCAAAGAUAACGCGGAGAAACUUGACGACACUCUGAUUCCAAAAAUGGUAAGAAGUUCUUGGGGGAAGAAAUGGAGUGACAAAAUUAUUUUGGUUUUUCCAGCUUCUUACCAGGGUGUCACACUGAUAAGGGAUCACUGGCUCACAGAAUUCUCUGCAAGUGCAACGAUGAAAUUCCAAAUUGGAAUUGUUUCAUUCUCUCUUUGUUUAUCGUGCCAAAUCUUGGUACAUCAUUUAGGUUUGAAAAGAAUGAAGAAUCAGAAAGAAUGACAAGCCGUACAUCAGUGAGAAAGGUAUCGUUUGGGGCCGUGGCUUUCUGUCCUAGUGCUGCCCAGGAUUUGUUUUGGGUCUGUUUUGUUCUUCGUUCUGACCAGUCGUGCCUUUCAUUGUUUCAAGGGAGAAUCGUAGACUAGUAUUUUUGGUUAGUUUUUUAGGUGAGGAGGUUUGGGUUUAAAACUACUUUGUGAGCUGCAAUAAAUGCGAAGAUGAGCCCUUUUUGCAGGGGUGAGAGGAUAGUUUUCAAAUUAGCUCAAUUCAAUUGAUAUUGUGUUGAAUUCUGCAGGUCAGUGAUCCUAACAGAAAAUUCAGGGGUAUUGAGAAUUUAUAUUAUUUUUUUUAUCAAACUGGGAACCAAAAUAAAUCCCUUUGGCCUCCUAUUGAACAAAAUGUUACAAACACCACUACUGUGUUUUGGGUAGAUCAGUGUUCUAUUGGAAACAUCUAGGUGAUCUCGAACUUUGUUUGGUUAAGGUAAUGUGCUAUCAAUAGUAUUGUUGGAAAAUGUGCAGGGAGUGCAUUUUGUCUUUUGUUUGUCCAAUUUGAGUUUUAUUUUUUAUUCUUGAAUAUUUUUUUUUUUUACAUCUUAUUAAAGCGUUGUGAUUUCAGGAAACAGAAAACAGAUUUUGCAUCAACAAGCUUGAAUUGUGCCAUUAUUGCCAAUGCUUGUUUGUUGAGGCGUAAAAAGUUAUCAAUACGGUUGGGAAGCAAAAACAAAAGAAGAAAAUAAAGUGCAAUUUUAAUGCUGUUUUACAAGGAAAAUAAACGUUUUCUGUUUGCUGGAAGCAAUAGCACUGUGAUAAUACACUAGCUGUGUAAACUUUAUAUUGUCAUAUUGUGUUUCAGUAUUGAUCCAUAUUGAGUUUGAUACCUUUAUAUGAAAUAACGACUUCAUCUGUGUGUUGGUAUGUAUUUGAAUUGUUAUGCAGUUCGGUAUUCUUCUCAAUAAUGUGUAUUAUGAUUAGUGGCAUAUUCAUUACAAUUUAAUAUCAUAUGCAUGUUCAUCAGUCAUGGGAACCUUUACACAGAAUCGAAAACAAACCUAGAACUUUGAAGAUUCUAUUGUAAUACUGCUGAACUAAUCCUAUGAAAGUGUUGUUUUGUUUUCCUAUAGAGAGGUGGUAUGUCUGUGUAAAGGUAGUCAUACUGGCUAAAAUCAAUAAAUGUGAC
RNAcentral lists this long non-coding RNA (2578 nucleotides) under Salmo salar (Atlantic salmon). Its description in RNAcentral is "lncRNA (ENSSSAG00000093692.1)". Lineage: Eukaryota; Metazoa; Chordata; Actinopteri; Salmoniformes; Salmonidae. The record is from RNAcentral.